GCAGUAGGGUGCCAUCA
This 17-nucleotide ribosomal RNA is filed under the name Enterocytozoon bieneusi. RNAcentral describes it as "partial large subunit ribosomal RNA". The record is from RNAcentral. Lineage: Eukaryota; Fungi; Microsporidia; Enterocytozoonidae.